AGGAUUUGAUUUAGGAUUAAGAUUUGGUUAGGAUUUGAUUUAGGGCUUAGGAUUUGGUUUAGGUUUUAGAGUUUGGUUAGGAUUUGAUUUAGGAUUUGGUUAGGAUUUAAUUUAGGAUUUAGAGUUUGAUUUAAGGUUUAGAGUUUGGUUAGGAUUUCAUUUAGGGUUAAGAUUUGGUUAGGGUUUGAUUUAGGGUUUAGGAUUUGGUUUAGGAUUUGGUUAGGAUUUGAUUUAGGAUUUGAUUAGGAUUUGGUUUAGGAUUUAGGAUUUAAUUAGUUUUGGCCAAAAGUUUCAAUGAAGUGCAAUAGGAUUUUAAAUAGGAUUAAAUUAAUAAUGAAUUGAGAUGUAUUUGAGAUAUAUUUGUGAUCAUUCUGAUAUUUCUUUAAGAUUUCUUAUUGUGUCUUUGAAAUUUUUUUGAGGUUACUUUGAAUUUGAUUAAAGCUUGUUCAGUAUUAUUAUGGUUUAAUUAGAGUUUAGUUAGUAUUCUAUUAGAGUUAGGAUUUUGUUGUUGCAAUUUCUAUUCUACCUUCCAUAGCCAAGUACUCAAAGCAUUCUCAAGCAAGACUUCACGUAUUACGACAGCAUUGAAAUAGAUUGGAAUAUCUUAUUCAUUG
Molecule: long non-coding RNA, 614 nt
Filed under: Physcomitrium patens
Lineage: Eukaryota; Viridiplantae; Streptophyta; Bryopsida; Funariales; Funariaceae
Description: long non-coding RNA (PPAT_LNC013692)
Source: RNAcentral